GCUCAGGAUGAACGCUAGCUACAGGCUUAACACAUGCAAGUCGAGGGGCAGCAUGGAACUUAGCUUGCUAAGUUCUGAUGGCGACCGGCGCACGGGUGAGUAACACGUAUCCAACCUACCGUUUACUACGGGAUAGCCUUCUGAAAAGGAGAUUAAUACCGUAUGGCAUUCUAAGGUUUCAUGACAUUAGAAUUAAAGGUUUACCGGUAAUCGAUGGGGAUGCGUUCCAUUAGAUAGUAGGCGGGGUAACGGCCCACCUAGUCUACGAUGGAUAGGGGUUCUGAGAGGAAGGUCCCCCACAUUGGAACUGAGACACGGUCCAAACUCCUACGGGAGGCAGCAGUGAGGAAUAUUGGUCAAUGGACGAGAGUCUGAACCAGCCAAGU
This 386-nucleotide ribosomal RNA is filed under the name uncultured Bacteroides sp. RNAcentral describes it as "bacterial SSU rRNA". It matches the Rfam family "Bacterial small subunit ribosomal RNA", at positions 22 to 397 of the family's 1533-position model. The record is from RNAcentral. Lineage: Bacteria; Pseudomonadati; Bacteroidota; Bacteroidia; Bacteroidales; Bacteroidaceae.